This 335-nucleotide ribosomal RNA is filed under the name bacterium xpnta441lbim19onp9.8. RNAcentral describes it as "bacterial SSU rRNA". It matches the Rfam family "Bacterial small subunit ribosomal RNA", at positions 50 to 380 of the family's 1533-position model. The record is from RNAcentral.
UACACAUGCAAGUCGAACGGUGAAGCAGACGUUUNGCUCUGGUUGGAUCAGUGGCGAACGGGUGAGUAACACGUGAGCAACCUGCCCCUGACUCUGGGAUAAGCGCUGGAAACGGCGUCUAAUACCGGAUAUGAGCUGCGAUCGCAUGGUCAGCAGUUGGAAAGAUUUUUCGGUCUGGGAUGGGCUCACGGCCUAUCAGCUUGUUGGUGAGGUAAUGGCUCACCAAGGCGUCGACGGGUAGCCGGCCUGAGAGGGUGACCGGCCACACUGGGACUGAGACACGGCCCAGACUCCUACGGGAGGCAGCAGUGGGGAAUAUUGCACAAUGGGCGAAA